CAGGCCUGGCAUCUCGGAGGUUGCUCCAGACCCCAUCUACUCCUCUGUGGAUGACAGAGAAGAGCAGUGCACUCUGCCCCAGAUGGACCCUGAUCCCAAUGCUGAUGGCAUCACCUACACUGAGCUGAACCAUGAGGCACUGAACAAGCAGUGGUACCCCACCCUUGCCAUUGUUGAGCCCAGCCUCUAUGCUGCAGUCAGUGUGAGACCAGGGGUCCAUCAGUGACAGCCCUCAACUCACCAAGUGUGAGCCCAGGGAGAGACAUCUCUGGAAUAGAGGCACGAAGGUGUAUGCCCACCAAGGUCAUUCACCUAUAGAGGAUGCGCUGUAGCAUGGACUCUGCUUACAUGGAACAUUUUCUGGGACCCCUCCACCCUUCCCAGACCUGCACAAGGGAGCAGGUGGGGUAGAGGGAAGGGGAGGUGGGAAGGGGAUCUUCCUAAGCCUCUUUGUAUAUAACUUGGUAGCCUGCUUAACCUCUAGUUUUAUAAUAAACACAGGAUCACCCAAACCCAGCUUCCCUGGGGGCCUGAUACAGCCAUGCCCCUAUACUGGGUUGGGGAUUACCCCAGCAAAGUGUACUGCAAUGGGGUUUCCCUACUACAUCUUUAGUACUCCACUGACAGGCAUUCUCCCUGCAGUUAACUCUUACGUACCAUGGCCUGGGCUCGUUUCCAUGCUUCUUUCCCCACCUUGUACCCAGGCUUCCUGGCUAAUUUUUGCUUCAUCUUGGGGCCAUACAGAUUCACAACCUGGUUAUGGGCUGAUCUACCCCUUUGGGGGCCACAGGCACCUGGUAAGAAUUUGCAGUGGCAAGCAUCAGCUUCUACCUUUGCCCAUUAAUCCAGCACUGGUCAGAUAAGCCCCCACCCUGCUCACACGGGAUCCUGAGUCACCUUUCCCCAUGAGCUCCCACAUCUCUGCCCUCCUGAGCCCCAGGCAGCUCUGCCCCUGGAUCCCAGUCAGUUCUCCUCCCCCUUGAUCACAAAAGAUGCCACACUGCUGAACUCAUCAGGGCUGGUAGCUGUCCAUUGUGAAUGUGCGGUGCCCAUUCUUUUACAACAGCAUAAAAAAGACAUCACAGCCAGGACCAGAUCCAGGGGACCUGCACUGGUGCACUUGCACCCCCCUUUAAUUCCUGCUCCACCCAAAGUUUAAAACCAAUACUUGGCAGUUGCAGCAGCAUUUCUAGUCAAGCAGCAGUGAUGGAGUCAAUUAACGUCAUGGCUCACUAUAUUCCAUCUAAUUCCUUCUAAACUCUUCACCCCACAGGUGUUAACAACCCUCUCUCUGUUUUUAAUGGUCUGAAUGUUCCACUAAUCAACCUAUUCCUUCUUCAGCAAUUCUGCCGUCUGCUAGGAGCUACAUUAUCAGGAGCAGAUACUUCGCCCUGCAGCCUGUUUUUAACUCUAACUAAAAACAUUAACUUUAGACCAGGCUUUAAACUGAGCCCCCUGGGGGAUGAGGAGAGUACCACCACUGCAAGCCCACUGGGCAGUUUUUGUAAACCCAGCAGGCUAAGGCACUCAAGGGAACCCACGCCUACCCUAGCCCCAGAGCGAUCUGUAGGAAAGGCAAGGGCCCCCAGUGGGUCACUUAUGUGCCUGUACACCAAUGCCAGGAUCCUGGGGAACAAACAGAAGGAACUGGUCCUUCUGCUAAACCAGAAGAAUUACGAAGUCAUAGGGAUAACAUAAACCUGGUGGGACUCUACCUAUGACUGGGCCACAGGUAUAGAUGGCUAUACCUUGUAUAGGAGAGAU
This is a long non-coding RNA of Alligator mississippiensis (American alligator), 1764 nucleotides long. RefSeq lists it as uncharacterized. The record is from RefSeq and is a predicted model, not a curated record. The transcript is spliced from 3 exons. Lineage: Eukaryota; Metazoa; Chordata; Crocodylia; Alligatoridae.